Molecule: ribosomal RNA, 237 nt
Filed under: uncultured bacterium
Lineage: Bacteria
Description: partial 16S ribosomal RNA
Rfam family: Bacterial small subunit ribosomal RNA
Source: RNAcentral
UGGCGACACCGCGCGGAACCCGAAAGCCGUUCUCAGUUCGGAUCGGAGUCUGCAACCCGACUCCGUGAAGCUGGAUUCGCUAGUAAUCGCGCAUCAGCCAUGGCGCGGUGAAUACGUUCCCGGGCCUUGUACACACCGCCCGUCAAGCCAUGGGAGCCGGGGGUGCUUGAAGUGCGUCGCCGCAAGGCGCGCCCUAGAGCAAAACCGGUGACUGGGGCUAAGUCGUAACAAGGUACC